AGGGCUUGUCAUAGUCAUUGCAAUAGGCAUUGGCACCGGUAUUGGUAUCGUAGUUCUUGGUGCAGUUCCUGCAAUUAUAGCAUCGGCGAUUUUGAAGAAAAAUAGGAUGAAGGUCGAUGUUAGCUAAUGGCUUACAAAUUAACAGACAUAAUAUUGGAAGAAAAGAAUGGAAAAGUUAGGAAAUAAGCUUCAUACAUUUGCACUGAAUUUCUGUAGUGAAAAUAGACCCCUCUCGGGCAACCAGAGUUCCUUUCACUACAACUUUUCUCCUUUGAACUGGAAUUGUAAUCGGAAUCCACUACAUUUGAAAAAAGCAAAAAGAAAAAGGGAAGUGGAUCAUCCCUUUUGUCUUUAAAAACUGGUUUCUGAAGCAAGCAAAAGCAUCAGAAUUACUUGCUGUUCUGUACACACGGCUGACUCCUUAUUCUGCCUCUCCAUAGUGCUAAAUGUUUCACCUGUUAAAGAACAUGUUGGCCACCUGAGUGUGGCAUAGUUUGGAUUGUGGGUUUUAGCUGCAGGUGGCAAGAGAGCCUGUUUAGAUACCUGCUUACAGGCUUCCAUCAUGAAGUGCAUAAUGUUAGUCUUCAAACCCAAAUGUAAAGAUGCCAGACUCUAAAAGGAAUGUUGUAGGUUCUUGAUGUGACCUUUCUUCAGAUUUAGUCUUCAUCUACAGAUUUUUGUUGAAGUGAGAAUCUCUUCAGAUAAAUCCACCUUUUGUUCCCAGCUCUAUAGCUUCGGUUUCUUUUUACAAAUUUUCUCUUAGGGGAGACACUAUAUAUCAGAGUGACGUGUGUGAAUUUACAUGGAGUUCCAGAGAUGUUCAGAAUACUCAUCACUGAGUUUUUAAUAAAAUUUACUGAAAAUAAGGCAUCCUGUUUCUUUCCCUACAAUCAACUAGCACUUUAUAAGAGGUAAGCAAUAAGAUCAAAAGUGUAUUCCAUAGCAAGUUCUCCAGUGGUUUAGUGACUAAAUUAAUUUUAUGUUUUAGUCAUCAAAAAAUGUCUUUGGAGGUCUGAAAACAAGCUUUUUAAAAUUCAGGAUAUGGCACUCUCUGCUGGUAAAAUAGAGGUGAUUGUAAUCCAAUACAUUAUUAUAAAUUUAUUUUAUAAUUUAAAACAUGUUGUUUAUAUUCUUUUUUAUAAUCACAACUAUGUUGAGUUUUGUUUAGCAAUAUGCAUCAAUCUUUGAAACUGUAACUGAAGG
Molecule: non-coding RNA, 1203 nt
Organism: Chrysemys picta bellii (western painted turtle)
Lineage: Eukaryota; Metazoa; Chordata; Testudines; Emydidae
Source: RefSeq, a predicted model, not a curated record